This 253-nucleotide ribosomal RNA is filed under the name uncultured bacterium. Its description in RNAcentral is "partial 16S ribosomal RNA". It matches the Rfam family "Bacterial small subunit ribosomal RNA", at positions 524 to 776 of the family's 1533-position model. The record is from RNAcentral.
UACGUAGGGUGCGAGCGUUGUCCGGAAUUACUGGGCGUAAAGAGCUCGUAGGUGGUUUGUCGCGUUGUUCGUGAAAUCUCACGGCUUAACUGUGAGCGUGCGGGCGAUACGGGCAGACUGGAGUGCUGCAGGGGAGACUGGAAUUCCUGGUGUAGCGGUGGAAUGCGCAGAUAUCAGGAGGAACACCGGUGGCGAAGGCGGGUCUCUGGGCCGAUAUUGACGCUGAGGAGCGAAAGCGUGGGGAGCGAACAGG